RNAcentral lists this ribosomal RNA (468 nucleotides) under uncultured bacterium. Its description in RNAcentral is "partial 16S ribosomal RNA". It matches the Rfam family "Bacterial small subunit ribosomal RNA", at positions 28 to 507 of the family's 1533-position model. The record is from RNAcentral.
GACGAACGCUGGCGGCGUGCUUAAUACAUGCAAGUCGAACGGAAAGGCCCUGCUUUUGUGGGGUGCUCGAGUGGCGAACGGGUGAGUAACACGCGAGUAAACUGCCCUUGACUUUGGGAUAAAUUAAGGAAACUGGGGCUAAUAACGGAUAGGAGCUACUGCUGCAUGGAGGGGGUUGGAAAGUUUCGGCGGUUGGGGAUGGACUCGCGGCUUAUCAGCUUGUUGGUGGGGUAGUGGCUUACCAAGGCUUUGACGGGUAGCCGGCCUGAGAGGGUGACCGGCCACCUUGGGACUGCGAUACGGCCCAGACUCCUACGUGAGGCAGCAGUGGGGAAUAUUGCACAGUGGGCGGACGCCUGAUGCAGCAACGCCGCGUUCGUGAUGCCGGCCUUCGGGUUGUAAACCGCUUUCUCCUGUGACGAAGCGUGAGUGACGGUAAUUGGUAAAGAAGCACCGGCUAACUACGUG